UUUAGUGGAAAUCUUGGUAAAAUAUAAAGAACGUCGUGCGACGAAACGUUGUAUGUAGGCAUUAGCUUGUGAUAUACAAAUGUUCUAGAGGAAUACCUCAAAUUUUUUAUUUAAAUUUAUGUGAAUUGAAUCAUCUUAGUAACAUAAAAUAAAUCAAAAGAGAUUCUGUUAUUAAUGGCGAAUAAACGCAGAAAUAGCUUAUUUAUUUAUUUUUUAGAAAUUCUUUAAAAGGUUCAAGUCCUGUAUAAAAAUAAUUAAAUUUAUAAAUAGUGUGAAAUUUAAUUUACAUGAAUAAAGGAGAACCACCUUCUAAGCUAAAAAUAUUUUUUAACCGAUAGUGAACAACUACCGUGACGGAAAGAUAAAUUAUUUCGAAAGAAAUAAAAUUGAAAUUAUACGCUUAUAAUUUUUUGAAGUUUUAUAAUAUAAUAAAAAAAUAACAAAAUGCCUUUUGCAUAAUGAGUCAGUAAGUUAUAAAUUAUAGCAAGCUUAUAAUUUAAUAUUAAGGCGUUGAAAAAGUUAUAAUUUUUAAACCUGAAGCCAAGUGAUCUAAUUGAAAGCAGGUUGAAAAAUUAUUAAUAUAAUUUUGGAAGACUGUACCCGUAUAUGUAGCAAAAUAUAGGGAUGACUUUUAGUUAGGGGCGAAAGACCAAUCAAACUUGGCGAUAGCCGGUUUUUCACGAAAUGUAUUUUAGUACUGUGUUAUUUUUUUUAAGUAAACUGAAGGUAGAGUACCUAUUAAGUAAAGGGGGCUAUACUGUCUUACUAAAUUUAGUUUAACUUAUAAUUUUAGUUUAAUAAAAGUAAUAAACAGUCUUUAGGCGAUAAGGUUUAAAGACAAAAGGAAAACAAUCCAAAUCACAUAUUAAGAUCUUAAAAUUAUAAUUUAGUGAAAAAAGUUUUUAUUUAUACAAAUAUUUAGGAUAAGCUUAGAAGCAGCUUUUCAUUAGAGAAAGCGUUUUAGCUCAUUAUUUAUUUUAUAAAAUCUUAAAAUGAAAAGACUUUAAAUUAUAUAUCGAUAUAGUGAAUUAAAGUUAAUAACUUUAAUGGUAGUGAAACGUUCUGUUUAAUUUUAUUAAUGAUAAUUAAUGAUAAUUUUCAGAAUUGCUAAUGCUGAUAUGAGUAGCGAAAAACUAUGUAAAAAUCAUAGUCACUUUAUAUCUGAGGUUUUCAGUGUAAUUUUUUAUACAUUGAGUUAGUCGGUCCUUAAAAGGAGAAUGAAAGUUGUACUUGACAGGUAAAAAAACUCAUUAUAUGCAUUAACUAAUGUUUUUGUUAAAAGGAUAAUAUUUUGUUUUAUAUUUCUGUUAAAAGGUAAAAUUACAAUAUAAAAUAUUUUUCUCGAGAAAAAAUUAUAAUGAUAAAACCGUACUUAAACCAACACAGGUGGAUUUUUUAUUAGAUAAAGUGAAUGAAUUAAUUAUACUGAAGGAACUAGGCAAAUUUACUCUGUAUGCUAGCUAUAAAGAGAACUGAGUUUAUUUCAGUAACAUUAACUAAGAAGUAACGACUGGUUACCAAAACCAUAGGACUUUGCAAAUUAAACUAAUACGUAUAAAGUCUGACGUCUGCCCAGUAUUUAAAAGUGAUAAAUAAAAGUAAUAAAUGCUAAUAUUUUAAUCUUAAGUAAACGGCGGUUCUAACUAUAAGAAUCCUUAGGUAGCGAAAUUCCUUGGCGGGUAAAUUCCGUCCUGCAUGAAUGACGUCACGAUUACUUCGCUGUCUCCAGUAUAAAUUCAGCGAAAUUACAUAAUCCAUGAAAAUGUGGAUUACCUACAGUAAGACGGAAAGACCCUAGAUCCUUUACUCUAUUUUUAUAUUGUAAAGUGAUAAAUUAAAAUGUAGAAUAUAUGGGAGUAGUUAAAUACAAAUUAUGAAAUACCAUUUUUUAUUUUUAUUUUUACUUAUUUUUAAACUAAAAACAGUGUAAGAAAGGGAGUUUACUUGGGACGAGUACCUCCUAAAAUGUAACGGAGGUGUACAAAGGUAAGUUUCAAUUACUUUGAUAUAGGUAAUGAAGUAUAUAAUGGUAUAAACUUGCUUAAUAAUAAGAUUGAUGAAUCAAAUUGAAACUAAAGUUUGUCAUAAUGAUCCGGUACUUAUGUGUGGAAAUAAUACCGCUUAACAAAUAAAAGGAACUCUAGGGAUAACAGAUUUAUCGUGGUUGAAAGUUCUUAUUGAUGCCACGGUUUGAUACCUCGAUGUCGACUCAUCUUAUCCUGAAAUUGAAGUAAAUUUCAAGGGUCUAGUUGUUCGCUAGUUAAAAAGGUACGUGAGUUGGGUUCAGAACGUCGUGAGACAGUUCGGUCCCUAUCUGCUGUAGGAUUGAAAAUAAAAAAAUAUGUUUUUAGUACGAGAGGACCAAAACAGUUUAACCACUAGUGUAUUGAUUGCUAAACCGUUAGCAGCGUCAAGUAGCUACGUUAAAUUUAUUAUAAAUACUGAAAGAAUCAAAAGUAUUAAAAAUAUUUUAUAACUUUUCAAGAGAAUUUUGGAAGAUUACCAAAUAUAUCGAUUUAUAGUUAACUAUUUAGUAAUAAAAUUUAACUUAUAAAAACGAA
This 2561-nucleotide ribosomal RNA is filed under the name Synarthrophyton patena. RNAcentral describes it as "large subunit ribosomal RNA". It matches the Rfam family "Bacterial large subunit ribosomal RNA". The record is from RNAcentral. Lineage: Eukaryota; Rhodophyta; Florideophyceae; Hapalidiales; Hapalidiaceae.